AAUAUUGGACAAUGGGCGCAAGCCUGAUCCAGCCAUGCCGCGUGAGUGAUGAAGGCCUNAGGGUUNUNAAGCUCUUUCAGUAGGGNAGAUAAUGACGGUACCUACAGAAGAAGCCCCGGCUAACUUCGUGCCAGCAGCCGCGGUAAUACGAAGGGGGCUAGCGUUGUUCGGAUUUACUGGGCGUAAAGCGCACGUAGGCGGAUCGUUAAGUAAGAGGUGAAAUCCCGGAGCUCAACUCCGGAACUGCCUUUAAUACUGGCGAUCUCGAGUCCGGAAGAGUUAAGUGGAACUCCUAGUGUAGAGGUGGAAUUCGUAGAUAUUAGGAAGAACACCAGUGGCGAAGGCGGCUUACUGGUCCGGAACUGACGCUGAGGUGCGAAAGCGUGGGGAGCAAAC
This 396-nucleotide ribosomal RNA is filed under the name uncultured bacterium. RNAcentral's name for it is "partial 16S ribosomal RNA". It matches the Rfam family "Bacterial small subunit ribosomal RNA", at positions 360 to 773 of the family's 1533-position model. The record is from RNAcentral.